UGGGGAAUAUUGCGCAAUGGGGGAAACCCUGACGCAGCCACGCCGCGUGAGUGAUGAAGGCCUUCGGGUUGUAAAGCUCUGUCGGGAGGGAAGAAGGGAGCAAUCCCUGACGGUACCUCGCAAGAAAGCACCGGCUAACUCUGUGCCAGCAGCCGCGGUAAUACAGAGGGUGCAAGCGUUGCUCGGAUUUACUGGGCGUAAAGCGUACGCAGACGGCUGGAUAAGUCGGGUGUGAAAGCCCCGGGCUCAACCCGGGAACUGCAUUCGAAACUGUCCGGCUAGAGUAUGGGAGAGGGAAGUGGAAUUCCUGGUGUAGAGGUGAAAUUCGUAGAUAUCAGGAGGAACACCGGCGGCGAAGGCGGCUUCCUGGCCCAUUACUGACGUUCAGGUACGAAAGCGUGGGGAGCAAACAGG
RNAcentral lists this ribosomal RNA (414 nucleotides) under uncultured bacterium. RNAcentral's name for it is "bacterial SSU rRNA". It matches the Rfam family "Bacterial small subunit ribosomal RNA", at positions 355 to 776 of the family's 1533-position model. The record is from RNAcentral.